This is a long non-coding RNA of Microtus oregoni (creeping vole), 454 nucleotides long. RefSeq lists it as uncharacterized. NCBI's taxonomy places the organism in Eukaryota, Metazoa, Chordata, Mammalia, Rodentia, Cricetidae. The record is from RefSeq and is a predicted model, not a curated record. The transcript is spliced from 3 exons.
GCCCACUGCUGGUUCUUCCCUCAGCUUUUGUUAUCCUGGCUCCGAGACUGUGGCUAUGAGGCAUCACUUUGAAAGGUCUCUACUAAGUUCCAUUCCAGUCUGGGGUCCUGGUAUUCUGUUGCAGAGAUGUGCUGUUCUCAGGCAGUUCUCCCUUGGUAGAUAAUGAUGUCUAUGAUCUUGCUACUCCACGAAUCACAUGCUGAGAACCUUGAUGUGCCCUGGCUGUGACAUCUUAUGACUUUUGGUUUUGGCUCUUCUGUCUCCAGAUGAAAAUUGGAGUUUGCAAACAAGCUGCCAGGGUACCAGAAUCUAUCUGAGGAACAACAGCAUAUUUUUCUGAGCUCCCAUGCUCCUCCCAGUGGUGUCGCGGAAGGAGACGUGUGAAUUCCCAAGCGCAGCACUGAGACAGACAUGGAGAAGCUGCUUUUGCUAAAAAAGCAUUGAUGCCUCACUU